UAGGGAAUCUUCCGCAAUGGACGCAAGUCUGACGGAGCAACGCCGCGUGAGUGAAGAAGGAUUUCGGUUCGUAAAACUCUGUUGUUAGAGAAGAACAGCGCAUAGAGUAACUGUUAUGCGUGUGACGGUAUCUAACCAGAAAGCCACGGCUAACUACGUGCCAGCAGCCGCGGUAAUACGUAGGUGGCAAGCGUUGUCCGGAUUUAUUGGGCGUAAAGCGAGCGCAGGCGGUCAAUUAAGUCUGAUGUGAAAGCCCCCGGCUCAACCGGGGAGGGUCAUUGGAAACUGGUUGACUUGAGUGCAGAAGAGGAGAGUGGAAUUCCAGGUGUAGCGGUGAAAUGCGUAGAUAUAUGGAGGAACACCAGUGGCGAAGGCGACUCUCUGGUCUGUAACUGACGCUGAGGUUCGAAAGCGUGGGUAGCAAACAGG
This 429-nucleotide ribosomal RNA is filed under the name Bacteroidota bacterium. RNAcentral's name for it is "Bacteroidetes bacterium partial 16S ribosomal RNA". It matches the Rfam family "Bacterial small subunit ribosomal RNA", at positions 355 to 776 of the family's 1533-position model. Lineage: Bacteria; Pseudomonadati; Bacteroidota. The record is from RNAcentral.